This 72-nucleotide transfer RNA is filed under the name Camelus bactrianus (Bactrian camel). It matches the Rfam family "tRNA". Rfam says of the family: Transfer RNA (tRNA) molecules are approximately 80 nucleotides in length. Their secondary structure includes four short double-helical elements and three loops (D, anti-codon, and T loops). RNAcentral also lists the same sequence under 2 other names. Lineage: Eukaryota; Metazoa; Chordata; Mammalia; Artiodactyla; Camelidae. The record is from Rfam by way of RNAcentral.
GUGGGUAUAGCUCAGUGGUAGAGUGCAUGCUUAGCAUGCAUGAGGUCCUGGGUUCAAUCCCCAUUAACUCCA